This 292-nucleotide ribosomal RNA is filed under the name uncultured bacterium. RNAcentral's name for it is "partial 16S ribosomal RNA". It matches the Rfam family "Bacterial small subunit ribosomal RNA", at positions 505 to 796 of the family's 1533-position model. The record is from RNAcentral.
GUGUCAGCAGCCGCGGUAAUACGGGAGUGGCAAGCGUUAUCCGGAAUUAUUGGGCGUAAAGCGUCCGCAGGCGGCCUUUUAAGUCUGUCGUCAAAGCGUGGAGCUUAACUCCAUUUAAGCGAUGGAAACUGGAAGGCUAGAGUGUGGUAGGGGCAGAGGGAAUUCCCGGUGUAGCGGUGAAAUGCGUAGAUAUCGGGAAGAACACCAGUGGCGAAGGCGCUCUGCUGGGCCAUAACUGACGCUCAUGGACGAAAGCCAGGGGAGCGAAAGGGAUUAGAUACCCGCGUAGUCC